RNAcentral lists this ribosomal RNA (457 nucleotides) under uncultured eukaryote. RNAcentral's name for it is "SSU rRNA". It matches the Rfam family "Eukaryotic small subunit ribosomal RNA", at positions 726 to 1178 of the family's 1831-position model. The record is from RNAcentral.
GCAAUGGGUAGUUUUGUCCAGAUAGUUUACUUUGAAAAAAUUAGAGUGUUCAAAGCAGGCAUAAUUGGCAUCAUGAAUACAUUAGCAUGGGAUAAUAGAAUAUGACAUUGGUCUUAUUUUGUUGGUUUCUAAGGCCAAAGUAAUGAUUGAUAGGGAUAGUUGGGGCCGCUCGUAUUGAGUUGUCAGAGGUGAAAUUCUAGGAUUUACUCAAGACGAACUAAUGCGAAAGCAUUCGGCAAGGAUGUUUUCAUUAAUCAAGAACGAAAGUUGGGGGAUCGAAGAUGAUCAGAUACCGUCGUAGUCUCAACCAUAAACUAUGUCAACCGAGGAUCCGGUAGCGUUACAUGGAUGACCUUCCGGGCACUCUGUGAGAAAUCAUAAGUAUUUGGAUUUCGGGGGGAGUAUGGUCGCAAGGCUGAAACUUAAAGGGAUUGACGGAAGGGCACCACCAGGAGUG